GAUGAACGCUGGCGGCGUGCCUAAUACAUGCAAGUCGAGCGAACGGACGAGAAGCUUGCUUCUCUGAUGUUAGCGGCGGACGGGUGAGUAACACGUGGAUAACCUACCUAUAAGACUGGGAUAACUUCGGGAAACCGGAGCUAAUACCGGAUAAUAUUUUGAACCGCAUGGUUCAAAAGUGAAAGACGGUCUUGCUGUCACUUAUAGAUGGAUCCGCGCUGCAUUAGCUAGUUGGUAAGGUAACGGCUUACCAAGGCAACGAUGCAUAGCCGACCUGAGAGGGUGAUCGGCCACACUGGAACUGAGACACGGUCCAGACUCCGACGGGAGGCAGCAGUAGGGAAUCUUCCGCAAUGGGCGAAAGCCUGACGGAGCAACGCCGCGUGAGUGAUGAAGGUCUUCGGAUCGUAAAACUCUGUUAUUAGGGAAGAACAUAUGUGUAAGUAACUGUGCACAUCUUGACGGUACCUAAUCAGAAAGCCACGGCUAACUACGUGCCAGCAGCCGCGGUAAUACGUAGGUGGCAAGCGUUAUCCGGAAUUAUUGGGCGUAAAGCGCGCGUAGGCGGUUUUUUAAGUCUGAUGUGAAAGCCCACGGCUCAACCGUGGAGGGUCAUUGGAAACUGGAAAACUUGAGUGCAGAAGAGGAAAGUGGAAUUCCAUGUGUAGCGGUGAAAUGCGCAGAGAUAUGGAGGAACACCAGUGGCGAAGGCGACUUUCUGGUCUGUAACUGACGCUGAUGUGCGAAAGCGUGGGGAUCAAACAGGAUUAGAUACCCUGGUAGUCCACGCCGUAAACGAUGAGUGCUAAGUGUUAGGGGGUUUCCGCCCCUUAGUGCUGCAGCUAACGCAUUAAGCACUCCGCCUGGGGAGUACGACCGCAAGGUUGAAACUCAAAGGAAUUGACGGGGACCCGCACAAGCGGUGGAGCAUGUGGUUUAAUUCGAAGCAACGCGAAGAACCUUACUAAAUCUUGACAUCCUUUGACAACUCUAGAGAUAGAGCCUUCCCCUUCGGGGGACAAAGUGACAGGUGGUGCAUGGUUGUCGUCAGCUCGUGUCGUGAGAUGUUGGGUUAAGUCCCGCAACGAGCGCAACCCUUAAGCUUAGUUGCCAUCAUUAAGUUGGGCACUCUAAGUUGACUGCCGGUGACAAACCGGAGGGAGGUGGGGAUGACGUCAAAUCAUCAUGCCCCUUAUGAUUUGGGCUACACACGUGCUACAAUGGACAAUACAAAGGGCAGCGAAACCGCGAGGUCAAGCAAAUCCCAUAAAGUUGUUCUCAGUUCGGAUUGUAGUCUGCAACUCGACUACAUGAAGCUGGAAUCGCUAGUAAUCGUAGAUCAGCAUGCUACGGUGAAUACGUUCCCGGGUCU
Molecule: ribosomal RNA, 1372 nt
Filed under: uncultured bacterium
Lineage: Bacteria
Description: bacterial SSU rRNA
Rfam family: Bacterial small subunit ribosomal RNA
Source: RNAcentral